AGAGUUUGAUCCUGGCUCAGAGCGAACGCUGGCGGCAGGCCUAACACAUGCAAGUCGAGCGGAUGUAGCAAUACAUCAGCGGCAGACGGGAGAGUAACACGUGGGAACGCGCCCUUCGGUUCGGAAUAACUCAGGGAAACUUGGGCUAAUACCGAAUACGCCCUUACGGGGAAAGAUUUAUUGCCGAAGGAACGGCCCGCGUCCGAUUAGCUUGUUGGUGAGGUAACGGCUCACCAAGGCGACGAUCGGUAGCUGGUCUGAGAGGAUGACCAGCCUCACUGGGACUGAGACACGGCCCAGACUCCUACGGGAGGCAGCAGUGGGGAAUAUUGGACAAUGGGCGCAAGCCUGAUCCAGCCAUGCCGCGUGAGUGAUGAAGGCCUUAGGGUUGUAAAGCUCUUUUAGCAGGGAAGAUAAUGACGGUACCUGCAGAAAAAGCCCCGGCUAACUUCGUG
RNAcentral lists this ribosomal RNA (455 nucleotides) under uncultured Hyphomicrobiales bacterium. Its description in RNAcentral is "bacterial SSU rRNA". It matches the Rfam family "Bacterial small subunit ribosomal RNA", at positions 8 to 507 of the family's 1533-position model. The record is from RNAcentral. Lineage: Bacteria; Pseudomonadati; Pseudomonadota; Alphaproteobacteria; Hyphomicrobiales.